RNAcentral lists this ribosomal RNA (23 nucleotides) under Petasospora fabianii. RNAcentral describes it as "Cyberlindnera fabianii partial 18S ribosomal RNA". The record is from RNAcentral. Lineage: Eukaryota; Fungi; Ascomycota; Saccharomycetes; Phaffomycetales; Wickerhamomycetaceae.
GGUGACCUGCGGAAGGAUCAUUU